Molecule: long non-coding RNA, 2666 nt
Organism: Pantherophis guttatus
Lineage: Eukaryota; Metazoa; Chordata; Lepidosauria; Squamata; Colubridae
Source: RefSeq, a predicted model, not a curated record
AGUGCCAUCCAGUGGUCCAAGAAGGAAGAGCAGGUAGAAAAAGCACGGUUGCCGACAUUUUCUGUACCAGCGCUUCUCGGAGCGACCUUCCCAGCGUCAGCGCAACUUCCCGUCCGUCUCCUGUCCAACCCCCAUCGCCGUUGGAAAAAAACGACCUUUCAACUUUCAUUUUUACUUUUUCAGGGCUGCUCUUUUACCCUUUACCUUUAUUCCAACCUUUCUUCUCCCCUUCUCUUCCUUCCUCUCCUCCUACUUCCUUCGUUCUUCCUUCGUUCUUCCUCUUCUUCUCUUUCCUACUUCCCCUUCCCUUCCCCCACUCCUCUACUCCUCUUUCCCCUCCCUUUUCUUCCUCUCCUUUCCCCUUUCUUCUUUCUCCUGGUCUCUCCUGUCCUCUGUUCUCCCUUCCCCUCUCUUCUGUCGUUUCCCUUUCCAGUUCAAUCUUUUAGGGUUUAGGUUUUAGGUUUUAUGGUUUAGGGUUUAGGGUUUAGGGUUAGGGUUUUGUUUCGUCUCCUUUCUUGACUUCCGGUGGGACCGGAAUCAGUUGGCCAGCAUGUGCAUGCCCGCUGGAGUUGAGCUAGGGCAACACUCGCAUGCCCACCAAUAUGGCUCCGCAUGCCACAGGUUCACCAUCACGGGACUAGAGCUUCCCAUCUCCUCCCAAGGGAAGGGAAAGGAGGCACAGGGCAGGCAAGCCUGCCGGCUGUGGCACCCGUUCUCAGGACCUUUAGUUAUCGCUUAGAGCUCUUCGCAGGUAACCCCGGCCUGCAUUUUAUGGAAAGAAGCUGGGGAGGGGAGCUUUUGUGCAGGGCCGUUGACACCAUUGGGUGAUGCGAAAAAUCAAAAUCCAAGGGAAACCAUUAGAAUGUUGUUGUUGUUGUGUGUGCGCUUAUCUACAUAUACCCAGCUAGUUUAGAGACAUAAUACCAUACAACUUUUGGCAAUAAAGUUUCAGCCAAUAGAAACUUCUGGCUCAACGAUUCCAACACUUUAGGAAGUCUUUGACCGAGGAGCAUUCGGGCGAAUGCUCAACGGAUGGAGAAUGGAGCCGGAAGCCCUGCCGUGUUGCAGUUUGAAGCACCCGUGGGUGUGUGCAGAGAUUAAUCCACUCCGUCGGGAGAAAGAGCGCCUGUUUGGUGGAUAGGAGAGUCUCGGGGCCUCUUGGUAGAGACCCCUACGACCAAGCAACGAUUGCCAAGGAGGAGGUGAAAGAAGAGGAGCCCCAGCCCUUUCAGAAGAUCGGUCCAAGUACGAUUGACCGAGUUUGCAACUUAAGUCAUUGACCAGCUUUCAGUGUUUCAGAGCUGAGGUUUCAGGCCCAAGCCAGGGAUGGAGCGUUUCUGGCAAAGGCAGGAAGCUCUCACCAGUCCAAGAGAAAGAGCACAUUCUUUGCCCGUGCGGGACCCGGACUCCAUUCCUCUGGGCACGGCUGGUGACACGUUGGAAAAUCUUCCUGGGAUGUAUCUUUCACCGGGGUUUGUUUAAGGAGCACCGAUAGCAACCUCUAGGUUUUCCAAGGCGUAGCAGGCAGAAUAACUCCCAGGAUGUCCGAAAGCCACUCGGUAUCAGGUCUGCUCGUCGGUCCAUCUGUCCCACGACUAUCGGCACGGACCGGCUGCAGGGCUCUGAACAUCCGUUCAAGCAGAGGGGUUUUUCCCAGCCCUUCCCUGGAAACGCAGGGGUGAACCUGGACCUUUUGCACGCAAAGCAACAGCUCGAACUCGGACUGCGGCCAUCCGUCAGGAGACAAGCAACCUACUUGCAAAUAGCACUCCUAAGUAAACCAAAAAAUUAAUCUUCCACGUUUGACAUAGAGAAGAAACAAACACGGUUGAGUCGGGGAAUUAUAAAAUUAUUCUCGCUUAACGUUACAUACUUUUAUAAGCAUCUGGUUAAAACAAUCCAAUUUGGCCAAAGUAUUUAGAUGUAAAUACUUUAUUGCAAAGAGAAGGAAUUAAGCGCACGUUAUUUAUUUUAAUAAUUAUAUUCAGACCUAGGAAAAACAUUCCACUUGCAUUUCUCAUGACUUAAUUUUAGAAUUCACAAAGAGCUCUUCAUUAAAGGGGAAGAUAUCGUCUAAGUAUUGUCCUCUGGGAUAAAAAAAAGUACGUUACCAGGUUUUCUUCGGGAAUAGGGUGAAAUUGAGGGUGGGGAGCGAUAUUAAAACUAGAAAUCGAUCACGAUCUGAGAUGAUAACUACCCCUCGUAAGCGCUGAUGAGAGCGCGACUUGGCCUUUGCUGUCUGCGACGGUUUAUACAGCCCACUCCCAAACGCUACUUCUGCAAAAGGAAGUCUAGCCUCUGUAGCAGCCGUGUCUUUUCAGCCUCUCUCCAGGAAAGAGAGCUGGGGCAAAACAGAGGAAACAGUUAACACGAAGGUGGGCGCCCAGGGCCCCCUCGGUCAAGAAAACUUGGAACUCCAGCUGUGACACAGCAACCGGGGAGACCCCGGGAUCCAGGAUCUUUCAAGGCAGAGGCCAAUCGCACCUCUAAAGCGAUCACGAGGGACAGACCAGUACCGGCAUAUCUCCCUGAUAGCUGUCCUUUGGGGAUAUACUUUGAGAGAAGGAGUUGUUCCUAUUUCAGUGCAAAUAGUCAGGCCAGAUUGCCUAUAAUUGUUAAUACUAUAUUAAACCGUAAAUAAAAUUAUACCUGUAUUUUGCAGUUUA